Long non-coding RNA from Asparagus officinalis (garden asparagus), 434 nucleotides. RefSeq lists it as uncharacterized. Lineage: Eukaryota; Viridiplantae; Streptophyta; Magnoliopsida; Asparagales; Asparagaceae. The transcript has 2 exons. The record is from RefSeq and is a predicted model, not a curated record.
UUGGCGAGAAAUGGAGCCAAAACAUUGCUUCCCUUUGCAAGCUAGACUUUCUUAGGGAAUGCAAGCAAAAUUUCUUUUAGGGCAAUACCCUCAUGCUCGGGGCAAAUGGACGAUGCAUCUUGGUUUCAGAAAUGAAGGUGAUGCUGCAGGGUUUACACCAACUUCUCAUUCUGGGAUUUACGCUAACUUCUCAUUCUGUGAAUUGGUUGUACAAGUUACAGAGUAGGGAUCAUUCUGCUAGGCCUAUCUAUGUUCUGUAUGAUAAUUCUAAGUAGUUUAGGGAUCUGUUCCUUUUUUUUACUUUAUUUCGGCAAUUUGAUUACCUGGAAACCUUGUCUGCUUCAUAUUCAUCUAGUUUCUCAACAAGAACAAGCACAUUGGUAAGCAAAACAAACUUUUAUACUUUUCUUAUGCUAUGAAAACUAAAUUCGCCA